GAUGAACGCUGGCGGCGUGCCUAAUACAUGCAAGUAGAACGCUGAAGGAGGAGCUUGCUCUUCUGGAUGAGUUGCGAACGGGUGAGUAACGCGUAGGUAACCUGCCUGGUAGCGGGGGAUAACUAUUGGAAACGAUAGCUAAUACCGCAUGACAACAGUUAUUGCAUGAUAACUGUUUAAAAGGGGCAACUGCUCCACUACCAGAUGGUCCUGCGUUGUAUUAGCUAGUUGGUGCGGUAACGGCUCACCAAGGCGACGAUACAUAGCCGACCUGGGAGGGGGAUCGGCCACACGGGGACGGAGACACGGCCCAGACGACUACGGGAGGCAGCAGUAGGGAAUCUUCGGCAAUGGACGGAAGUCUGACCGAGCAACGCCGCGUGAGUGAAGAAGGUGUUCGGAUCGUAAAGCUCUGUUGUAAGAGAAGAACGAGUGUGAGAGUGGAAAGUGCACACUGUGACGGUAUCUUACCAGAAAGGGACGGCUAACUACGUG
This 495-nucleotide ribosomal RNA is filed under the name uncultured bacterium. Its description in RNAcentral is "partial 16S ribosomal RNA". It matches the Rfam family "Bacterial small subunit ribosomal RNA", at positions 28 to 507 of the family's 1533-position model. The record is from RNAcentral.